AUGGCCCGGCGUCUGCUCCACCUCCGGCCCCGCCUCCAGGCGCUCGCCCCCCGCCUCGUCCCUUCGCGGCAGUACAUGUCCGACAUGCGCCGCUCCGUCUUCCUCGACCGCCUCCUCCGCUCCCUCCGCUCCGAGAUCUCCUCCUGCCGCGCCGAGCCCGCCCCGCGGCCGCCGCCCUCCGCCGCGCCGUUCGCCCUCGACGACCGUCCCGGCGAGCAGUGGGUCCGCCUCCGCCGCGCGUUCGGGGAGCAGCAGGAGGAGGAGGUCAGGGUGGAUGCCUCGAUGGUCGACGGCGCCGUGGCGCCCACCCGCUCGGGCGUGGCCGCGGAAGACGGCGGGCCACAGGACAGGAUGCACAUUAGCGUCCACGUCGAGGUCUCCAAGCCCGCGCGGCCUGACUUUGCGCUCAAGUUCGAGUGCUCUGCCUGGCCCGAGGAGAUGGACGUGGAGAGGGUCUUCCCCGUCCGCCGCAGCGGGCCAACGCCGGAGCAGCAAUACAUGGGCCGCCAGUUCAGGGAGUUAGAUGAGGAGAUGCAAACCGCAGUGCGUGAUUACCUGGAGCAGAGAGGGGUGAAUGACGAGCUAGCUGCAUUCCUGCACACGUACAUGGAAAACAAGGAGCAGACGGAGCUUGUAGGGUGGCUUAAAAAUAUCGAGUGCUAUCUGAAGAACAUCAAAAAGUCCUUGCUCUUUCAGAAGACGUGA
Molecule: ribosomal RNA, 705 nt
Filed under: Triticum aestivum (bread wheat)
Lineage: Eukaryota; Viridiplantae; Streptophyta; Magnoliopsida; Poales; Poaceae
Description: partial small subunit ribosomal RNA
Source: RNAcentral